GAUGAACGCUGGCGGCGUGCCUAAUACAUGCAAGUCGAGCGAACAGACGAGGAGCUUGCUCCUCUGACGUUAGCGGCGGACGGGUGAGUAACACGUGGAUAACCUACCUAUAAGACUGGGAUAACUUCGGGAAACCGGAGCUAAUACCGGAUAAUAUGUUGAACCGCAUGGUUCAACAGUGAAAGACGGUUUUGCUGUCACUUAUAGAUGGAUCCGCGCCGCAUUAGCUAGUUGGUAAGGUAACGGCUUACCAAGGCAACGAUUCGUAGCCGACCUGAGAGGGUGAUUCGCCACACUGGAAACGAAACACGGUCCAGACUCCUAAGGGAGGCAGGAGUAGGGAAUCUUCCACAAUGGGCGAAAGCCUUAACGAGCAACCCCGCGUGAGGGAUGAAGGUUUUCGGGUUGUAAAACCCUGUUAUUAGGGAAGAAAAAAAGUGGAAGUAACUAUGCACGUCUUGACGGUACCUAAUCAGAAAGCCACGGCUAACUACGUG
Molecule: ribosomal RNA, 497 nt
Filed under: uncultured bacterium
Lineage: Bacteria
Description: partial 16S ribosomal RNA
Rfam family: Bacterial small subunit ribosomal RNA
Source: RNAcentral